RNAcentral lists this long non-coding RNA (262 nucleotides) under Lathyrus oleraceus (garden pea). RNAcentral describes it as "Pisum sativum (pea) long non-coding RNA (PSAT_LNC010279)". The record is from RNAcentral. Lineage: Eukaryota; Viridiplantae; Streptophyta; Magnoliopsida; Fabales; Fabaceae.
AAGACCUCACCUAGACGAGAUCUUCUUAAGGAUAUUAUUGUCCGACUAGUCUUCGUCACGACAGUGACGUUCUCAAGAAAUAUCCGUGACUCUAGGAACCUACCAACUGUAGAGCCUACCCAUGGGGUUCCAUUAAUCAGAGAUACCUGUCAUUUACCCGUUAUUCUGAUCUAUCUGAAAACACUUUGAACCUUUGAUCCUGAACAUGUCACUACACUCAUACACAUAUCAUUGCAUUUUCAUUCAUCAUCAUACAUUUCAU